UGGCUAACUCCUACGGGAGGCAGCAGUGGGGAAUUUUGGUCAAUGGGCGGGAGCCUGAACCAGCCAAGCCGCGCGAGGGAAGAAGGUACAGCGUAUCGUAAACCUCUUUUGUCAGGGAACAAAGGCGGGGACUAGUCCCCGGAUGAGGGUACCUGAAGAAAAAGCAUCGGCUAACUCCGUGCCAGCAGCCGCGGUAAUACGGAGGAUGCGAGCGUUAUCCGGAUUUAUUGGGUUUAAAGGGUGCGCAGGCGGCCUGUUAAGUCAGCGGUAAAAGCCCGGGGCUCAACCUCGGCGAGCCGUUGAAACUGGCGGGCUGGAGUUGGAGAGAAGUACGCGGAAUGCGCGGUGUAGCGGUGAAAUGCCUAGAUAUCGCGCAGAACCCCGAUUGCGAAGGCAGCGUACCGGCUCCACACUGACGCUGAGGCACGAAAGCGUGGGUAUCGAACAGGAUUAGAAACCCUGGUAGUCCAGCUGG
This 475-nucleotide ribosomal RNA is filed under the name uncultured bacterium. Its description in RNAcentral is "bacterial SSU rRNA". It matches the Rfam family "Bacterial small subunit ribosomal RNA", at positions 329 to 803 of the family's 1533-position model. The record is from RNAcentral.